This 626-nucleotide ribosomal RNA is filed under the name uncultured eukaryote. RNAcentral's name for it is "SSU rRNA". It matches the Rfam family "Eukaryotic small subunit ribosomal RNA", at positions 614 to 1258 of the family's 1831-position model. The record is from RNAcentral.
UGCAGUUAAAAAGCUCGUAGUUGGACUUUAGGCAAGGCGGCCUGGUCACCCUCUGGGUGUACUGGGAUCGCUGCGCCUCACCUUCGGGGAGCUAGUCGUGCUUCGGUGCGCUAGGGAACCGAGCCUUACCUUGAGGAAAUUAGAGUGUUUAAAGCAGGCUUAUGCUUGAAUACGUUAGCAUGGAAUAACAUGAUAGGACUUUGGUUCUAUUUUGUUGGUUUGAGGACCAAAGUAAUGAUUAAUAGGGACAGUUGGGGGCAUUAGUAUUCAAUAGUCAGAGGUGAAAUUCUUGGAUUUAUUGAAGACUAACUAAUGCGAAAGCAUUUGCCAAGGAUGUUUUCAUUAAUCAAGAACGAAAGUUAGGGGAUCGAAGACGAUUAGAUACCGUCGUAGUCUUAACCAUAAACUAUGCCGACUAGGGAUCGGUGGAAGUCGAUUUUGACUCCAUCGGCACCUUACGAGAAAUCAAAGUUUUUGGGUUCUGGGGGGAGUAUGGUCGCAAGGCUGAAACUUAAAGGAAUUGACGGAAGGGCACCACCAGGAGUGGAGCCUGCGGCUUAAUUUGACUCAACACGGGAAAACUCACCAGGUCCGGACAUGGGAAGGAUUGACAGAUUGAGAGCUCU